Molecule: ribosomal RNA, 477 nt
Filed under: Onobops jacksoni
Lineage: Eukaryota; Metazoa; Mollusca; Gastropoda; Littorinimorpha; Cochliopidae
Description: partial 16S large subunit ribosomal RNA
Rfam family: Bacterial large subunit ribosomal RNA
Source: RNAcentral
UUUAUAAAUAUAAGAAGUCUGACCUGCCCAGUGAAAUUUUAACGGCCGCGGUACUCUGACCGUGCAAAGGUAGCAUAAUCACUUGCCUUAUAAUUGAAGGCUAGUAUGAAUGGUUUGACAAGAAUAAAGCUGUCUCUUUUUAAAUACAUAGAAUUUGAUUUUUAGGUGAAGAAGCCUAAAUAAAAUUGAAAGACAAGAAGACCCUAUCGAGCUUGAAAACUUUUUACUGUAUAAUGAUUAAAUCAAAUUUCAAUAAAAAUUUUUAGUUGGGGCGACUGAGGAACAAAAAAGCUUCCUUUAAAAUUUCUUGCUUAUAAGUUUUGAUCCAAAAUAUUUGAUUAAAAAAAUUAGUUACCGUAGGGAUAACAGCAUAAUUUUUCUUGAGAGUUCAUAUCGAAAGAAAAGUUUGUGACCUCGAUGUUGGACUAGGAUAUCCUGACAGAUGUAGAAGUCUUCAAUGGUUGGUCUGUUCGACCA